Molecule: ribosomal RNA, 745 nt
Filed under: uncultured archaeon
Lineage: Archaea
Description: bacterial SSU rRNA
Rfam family: Archaeal small subunit ribosomal RNA
Source: RNAcentral
GACUGGGAUAACUCUGGGAAACUGGGGAUAAUACUGGAUAUUUGGCUAUGCCUGGAAUGGUUUGCCUUUGAAAUGUUUUCUUUUUCGCCUAAGGAUAGAUCUGCGGCUGAUUAGGUCGUUGGUGGGGUAAUGGCCCACCAAGCCGAUGAUCGGUACGGGUUGUGAGAGCAAGAGCCCGGAGAUGGAACCUGAGACAAGGUUCCAGACCCUACGGGGUGCAGCAGGCGCGAAACCUCCGCAAUGUACGAAAGUGCGACGGGGGGAUCCCAAGUGUUAUGCUUUUUUUGUAUAACUUUUCAUUAGUGUAAAAAGCUUUUAGAAUAAGAGCUGGGCAAGACCGGUGCCAGCCGCCGCGGUAACACCGGCAGCUCGAGUGGUAGCUGUUUUUAUUGGGCCUAAAGCGUUCGUAGCCGGUUUGAUAAGUCUUUGGUGAAAGCUUGUAGCUUAACUAUAAGAAUUGCUGGAGAUACUAUUAGACUUGAAGUCGGGAGAGGUUAGAGGUACUACCGGGGUAGGGGUGAAAUCCUAUAAUCCUGGGAGGACCACCUGUGGCGAAGGCGUCUAACUGGAACGAUCUUGACGGUGAGUAACGAAAGCCAGGGGCGCGAACCGGAUUAGAUACCCGGGUAGUCCUGGCCGUAAACGAUGUAGACUUGGUGUUGGAAUGGCUUUGGGUUGUUCCGGUGCCGAAGGGAAGCUGUUAAGUCUACCGCCUGGGAAGUACGGUCGCAAGACUGAAACUUAA